UACGGGGGGGGCAAGCGUUGUUCGGAAUUACUGGGCGUAAAGCGCGUGUAGGCGGCAGCGCAAGUCGGGCGUGAAAUCCCACGGCUCAACCGUGGAAGUGCACUCGAAACUGCGCAGCUAGAGUCCUGGAGAGGAAGGUGGAAUGCUUGGUGUAGAGGUGAAAUUCGUAGAUAUCAAGCGGAACACCGGUGGCGAAGGCGGCCUUCUGGACAGUGACUGACGCUGAGACGCGAAAGCGUGGGGAGCAAACAGG
RNAcentral lists this ribosomal RNA (253 nucleotides) under uncultured bacterium. Its description in RNAcentral is "partial 16S ribosomal RNA". It matches the Rfam family "Bacterial small subunit ribosomal RNA", at positions 524 to 776 of the family's 1533-position model. The record is from RNAcentral.